RNAcentral lists this ribosomal RNA (684 nucleotides) under uncultured eukaryote. Its description in RNAcentral is "SSU rRNA". It matches the Rfam family "Eukaryotic small subunit ribosomal RNA", at positions 83 to 776 of the family's 1831-position model. The record is from RNAcentral.
GAAACUGCAAAAGGCUCAUUAAAUCAGUUAUCGUUUAUUUGAUAAUACCUUACUACUUGGAUAACCGUGGUAAUUCUAGAGCUAAUACAUGCUGAAAAUCCCGACUUCGGAAGGGAUGUGUUUAUUAGAUAAAAAACCAAUGCCCUUCGGGGCUUUUUGGUGAUUCAUGAUAACUUUACGGAUCGCAUAGCCUUGCGCUGGCGACGGUUCAUUCAAAUUUCUGCCCUAUCAACUUUCGAUGGUAAGGUAUUGGCUUACCAUGGUUUCAACGGGUAACGGGGAAUUAGGGUUCGAUUCCGGAGAGGGAGCCUGAGAAACGGCUACCACAUCCAAGGAAGGCAGCAGGCGCGCAAAUUACCCAAUCCCGACACGGGGAGGUAGUGACAAUAAAUACUGAUACAGGGCUCUUUUGGGUCUUGUAAUUGGAAUGAGUACAAUUUAAACCUCUUAACGAGGAACAAUUGGAGGGCAAGUCUGGUGCCAGCAGCCGCGGUAAUUCCAGCUCCAAUAGCGUAUAUUAAAGUUGUUGCAGUUAAAAAGCUCGUAGUUGAAACUUGGGCCUGGCUGGCGGGUCCGCCUCACCGCGUGCACUCGUCCGGCCGGGCCUUCCUUCUGAAGAACUCAUGCCCUUCACUGGGCGUGCUGGGGAAUCAGGACUUUUACUUUGAAAAAAUUAGAGUGUUC